AUCCAUCCAAAAAAAAUGGCGCUAAAUCAAAAAUUAUUUCCUACUCUUUUUUCCCAGUAUCCAUCAAAAAUAGCCCAUUAAACAUUUCUGUCUCAUUUUCCUCCAAAAUAGCGCUAAUUAGGGUACAGUUGAACACUCUGUCGGCCAUUGAUGGUAAUUGCUACUCUCUACUCCAUCCAUUGCUACUCCGGUGUCUGCGGUUGGCCAUUGCCUUCUGUUUCAGCUUUUUCUCCGGUGUAUUCAAACUUCUACAACUCUCAGUUCCCAGAGAUGUACAGGCUAUUAUUAUGACACUCGAGUUUAACAACAAACAAGGUGCCCUUAUGUUUCAGGUCUUCUGUCAUAUAAUGAAGCUAUUAUUGAGACAGGAAACUUCAGAGUUAUGUCUUGAUUACUAAAAGAUCCUUACCAUUCAAGCUGUGAAUUUAACAACUCAAAGGUGUGCUCGGGGAUGAAGUUAUUUAUCUAUCUAUUCACAUGUAAUAAUGGGAUGGGAUGAGUCUGGCAUGCUUUGUAGUGAUUACCAUAAGCUGAUUUUUAUUAUUGGGUGGAGUUUGAGUUCUGAAGUAUAAUUUGUAGAAUUGAGACGUCCUUACAACAUGCUUUUCUAUCAGGGAACAGUUUGCAUUCCCACCCCUUUUCCCUUUCUAAGCCUUUCUUAUGUUGAUUGUUUCUUGCAUCAUGAUGCCAAGGAACUAAGAAUCUAAGAUGUUGAUUGUCUUUGGCAUGGUUAUCUAGUGAAAGUCCAUUUUGUGGAACUUUUCUUAGACUUGGCCAUUUUUUGCUGUCUUUAGCCGUUUGCCUUUUUGUAAUACAACUAGUGUGUAGAUUAUCAGGAGCAGUUUGUCCUCCUUAGAUUCCACUUAUGGGAUUACACUAGAUAUGUUGUUGUAAUUAGUGUUUUCCUUAUUCAUAAAAGGUUUUAUUUCUUUGAUA
Molecule: RNA transcript, 936 nt
Organism: Capsicum annuum
Lineage: Eukaryota; Viridiplantae; Streptophyta; Magnoliopsida; Solanales; Solanaceae
Exons: 4
Source: RefSeq, a predicted model, not a curated record